RNAcentral lists this ribosomal RNA (399 nucleotides) under uncultured bacterium. RNAcentral describes it as "bacterial SSU rRNA". It matches the Rfam family "Bacterial small subunit ribosomal RNA", at positions 362 to 776 of the family's 1533-position model. The record is from RNAcentral.
UAUUGGUCAAUGGGGGGAACCCUGAUCCAGCGACGCCGCGUGAGUGAAGAAGUCUCUCGGUAUGUAAAGCUCUAUCAGUAGGGAAGAAGAAAUGACGGUACCUGAGUACGAAGACCCGGCUAACUACGUGCCAUCAGCCGCGGUACUACGUAGGGGGCAAGCGUUAUCCGGAAUUACUGGGUGUAAAGGGAGCGUAGACGGUGAUGUAAGUCUGGAGUGAAAGGCGGGGGCCCAACCCCCGGACUGCUCUGGAAACUAUGUGACUGGAGUGCAGGAGAGGUGAGCGGAAUUCCUAGUGUAGCGGUGAAAUGCGUAGAUAUUAGGAGGAACACCAGUGGCGAAGGCGGCUCACUGGACUGUAACUGACGUUGAGGCUCGAAAGCGUGGGGAGCAAACAGG